AUUGAACGCUGGCGGCAUGCCUUACACAUGCAAGUCGAACGGCAGCACGGGAGCUUGCUCCUGGUGGCGAGUGGCGAACGGGUGAGUAAUACAUCGGAACGUACCCUGAAGUGGGGGAUAACGUAGCGAAAGUUACGCUAAUACCGCAUAUUCUGUGAGCAGGAAAGAGGGGGAUCGCAAGACCUCUUGCUUUAGGAGCGGCCGAUGUCGGAUUAGCUAGUUGGUGAGGUAAAGGCUCACCAAGGCGACGAUCCGUAGCGGGUCUGAGAGGAUGAUCCGCCACACUGGGACUGAGACACGGCCCAGACUCCUACGGGAGGCAGCAGUGGGGAAUUUUUGGACAAUGGGCGCAAGCCUGAUCCAGCCAUGCCGCGUGAGUGAAGAAGGCCUCGGUUGUAAGAC
Molecule: ribosomal RNA, 402 nt
Filed under: uncultured bacterium
Lineage: Bacteria
Description: bacterial SSU rRNA
Rfam family: Bacterial small subunit ribosomal RNA
Source: RNAcentral